GUCGCAAGACCAAAGUGGGGGACCUUCGGGCCUCAUGCCAUCAGAUGUGCCCAGAUGGGAUUAGCUAGUAGGUGGGGUAACGGCUCACCUAGGCGACGAUCCCUAGCUGGUCUGAGAGGAUGACCAGCCACACUGGAACUGAGACACGGUCCAGACUCCUACGGGAGGCAGCAGUGGGGAAUAUUGCACAAUGGGCGCAAGCCUGAUGCAGCCAUGCCGCGUGUGUGAAGAAGGCCUUCGGGUUGUAAAGCACUUUCAGCGGGGAGGAAGGCGUUAAGGUUAAUAACCUUGGCGAUUGACGUUACCCGCAGAAGAAGCACCGGCUAACUCCGUGCCAGCAGCCGCGGUAAUACGGAGGGUGCAAGCGUUAAUCGGAAUUACUGGGCGUAAAGCGCACGCAGGCGGUCUGUCAAGUCGGAUGUGAAAUCCCCGGGCUCAACCUGGGAACUGCAUUCGAAACUGGCAGGCUAGAGUCUUGUAGAGGGGGGUAGAAUUCCAGGUGUAGCGGUGAAAUGCGUAGAGAUCUGGAGGAAUACCGGUGGCGAAGGCGGCCCCCUGGACAAAGACUGACGCUCAGGUGCGAAAGCGUGGGGAGCAAACAGGAUUAGAUACCCUGGUAGUCCACGCCGUAAACGAUGUCGAUUUGGAGGUUGUGCCCUUGAGGCGUGGCUUCCGGAGCUAACGCGUUAAAUCGACCGCCUGGGGAGUACGGCCGCAAGGUUAAAACUCAAAUGAAUUGACGGGGGCCCGCACAAGCGGUGGAGCAUGUGGUUUAAUUCGAUGCAACGCGAAGAACCUUACCUGGUCUUGACAUCCACAGAACUUUCCAGAGAUGGAUUGGUGCCUUCGGGAACUGUGAGACAGGUGCUGCAUGGCUGUCGUCAGCUCGUGUUGUGAAAUGUUGGGUUAAGUCCCGCAACGAGCGCAACCCUUAUCCUUUGUUGCCAGCGGUCCGGCCGGGAACUCAAAGGAGACUGCCAGUGAUAAACUGGAGGAAGGUGGGGAUGACGUCAAGUCAUCAUGGCCCUUACGACCAGGGCUACACACGUGCUACAAUGGCAUAUACAAAGAGAAGCGACCUCGCGAGAGCAAGCGGACCUCAUAAAGUAUGUCGUAGUCCGGAUUGGAGUCUGCAACUCGACUCCAUGAAGUCGGAAUCGCUAGUAAUCGUAGAUCAGAAUGCUACGGUGAAUACGUUCCCGGGCCUUGUACACACCGCCCGUCACACCAUGGGAGUGGGUUGCAAAAGAAGUAGGUAGCUUAACCUUCGGGAGGGCGCUUACCACUUUGUGAUUCAUGACUGGGGUGAAGUCGUAACAAGGUAACCGUAGGGGAACCUGCGGUUGGAUCACCU
This 1354-nucleotide ribosomal RNA is filed under the name Klebsiella pneumoniae. RNAcentral's name for it is "bacterial SSU rRNA". It matches the Rfam family "Bacterial small subunit ribosomal RNA", at positions 192 to 1528 of the family's 1533-position model. Lineage: Bacteria; Pseudomonadati; Pseudomonadota; Gammaproteobacteria; Enterobacterales; Enterobacteriaceae. The record is from RNAcentral.